This 508-nucleotide ribosomal RNA is filed under the name uncultured bacterium. RNAcentral's name for it is "partial 16S ribosomal RNA". It matches the Rfam family "Bacterial small subunit ribosomal RNA", at positions 28 to 507 of the family's 1533-position model. The record is from RNAcentral.
GACGAACGCUGGCGGCGUGCCUAAUACAUGCAAGUCGAACGCUUCUUUCCUCCCGAGUGCUUGCACUCAAUUGGAAAGAGGAGUGGCGGACGGGUGAGUAACACGUGGGUAACCUACCCAUCAGAGGGGGAUAACACUUGGAAACAGGUGCUAAUACCGCAUAACAGUUUAUGCCGCAUGGCAUAAGAGUGAAAGGCGCUUUCGGGUGUCGCUGAUGGAUGGACCCGCGGUGCAUUAGCUAGUUGGUGAGGUAACGGCUCACCAAGGCCACGAUGCAUAGCCGACCUGAGAGGGUGAUCGGCCACACUGGGACUGAGACACGGCCCAGACUCCCACGGGAGGCAGCAGUAGGGAAUCUUCGGCAAUGGACGAAAGUCUGACCGAGCAACGCCGCGUGAGUGAAGAAGGUUUUCGGAUCGUAAAACUCUGUUGUUAGAGAAGAACAAGGACGUUAGUAACUGAACGUCCCCUGACGGUAUCUAACCAGAAAGCCACGGCUAACUACGUG